RNAcentral lists this ribosomal RNA (483 nucleotides) under Triticum aestivum (bread wheat). Its description in RNAcentral is "partial small subunit ribosomal RNA". Lineage: Eukaryota; Viridiplantae; Streptophyta; Magnoliopsida; Poales; Poaceae. The record is from RNAcentral.
GAAGAAGUUACAUAUUGGAGAUCUUGGGAGUGGUUGUCCUCUCCGAAAUAUCUUGGGGGAAUGGGCUUCCGAGACAUGCACUUAUUUAAUCAAGCCAUGCCUGCUAAGCAAUGUUGGCGACUGUUAUUGGAGCCCCUCUCUCUAUGUCACCGUGUAAUGAAAGGGAGAUAUUUUCCUGAUGGUGACUUUUGGAACUCAAAAUUCCCAAGAGCAGCAUCUUACACAUGGAGAAGCAUUAUGUAUGGGAAGGAGCUCCUGCGGAGAGGAUUGUUAUGGAGAGUUGGAGACGGAAAACAAAUUUCUAUCAUCCGGGAUAAUUGGAUACCAGACACCAUACAUGGGACAAUGCAAACAUUAAUUCCAGUGGAAGAUAACCAAACAGUGACCUCUCUAAUCUCUAGUAACAGCUCACUUGGAAAGAAGAUACUGUUAGAGAACUCUUUGAUCGUGACAUUGCAGAAAGAAUUCUUAAAAUUUCCCUAA